GACCGCGUAGCUCAGUUGGCAUGCAGAGCCGGCAUUGGGCUGGUAUCCCAAAGAUCGUAGGUUCGAAUCCCACCGUGGCCA
Non-coding RNA from Paramuricea clavata, 81 nucleotides. The record is from the annotation of a GenBank genome assembly. NCBI's taxonomy places the organism in Eukaryota, Metazoa, Cnidaria, Anthozoa, Malacalcyonacea, Plexauridae.